RNAcentral lists this ribosomal RNA (500 nucleotides) under uncultured bacterium. Its description in RNAcentral is "partial 16S ribosomal RNA". It matches the Rfam family "Bacterial small subunit ribosomal RNA", at positions 30 to 523 of the family's 1533-position model. The record is from RNAcentral.
AUUGAACGCUGGCGGAAUGCUUUACACAUGCAGGUCGAACGGCAGCACGGACUUCGGUCUGGUGGCGAGUGGCGAACGGGUGAGUAAUACAUCGGAACGUGCCCAGUCGUGGGGGAUAACGUAGCGAAAGCUACGCUAAUACCGCAUACGCUCUAAGGAUGAAAGCGGGGGAUCGCAAGACCUCGCGCGAUUGGAGCGGCCGAUGGCAGAUUAGGUAGUUGGGGGGGUAGAGGCUCACCAAGCCGACGAUCUGUAGCUGGUCUGAGAGGACGACCAGCCACACUGGGACUGAGACACGGCCCAGACUCCUACGGGAGGCAGCAGUGGGGAAUUUUGGACAAUGGGCGAAAGCCUGAUCCAGCCAUUCCGCGUGCAGGAUGAAGGCCCUCGGGUUGUAAACUGCUUUUGUACGGAACGAAAAGGCUCUGGUUAAUACCUGGGGCUCAUGACGGUACCGUAAGAAUAAGCACCGGCUAACUACGUGCCAGCAGCCGCAGUAA